GAAUCAGUUGUGUAUUGGCAAGUUGAAAAUACCCUCAGACAUGUAACAAAUUUUUUAAUAAGCUUAAAUUAAUCAACAGAUACACUGUGCAUAUGUAAACAAGUCAGUUAAAGUUAAGCAACAUUUUAACAGUAUUAUUAGCACUAUAAUUUCUACAGUACUAACAAUAACAUAGAAAUGUUUCAUAUAUUUCAAACCCAUAGUGGCCUGUGGCAAAAUUAUUCUGAUUUUUAAACCAAAAUCUAUUAAUAUUGAUGUACUUUCAUGGAAACAAUUAAACUCAAUCUUCUAAAACAUUAAUUAAGGCCUACUGUCAUUCAGGCUUUUUUUUCAAACCAGAUUAAUCAAGUCUACCAAAUGCUUGAAGUCUAAACAACGCAGCCAUUGCAGGGAGCAGAAGAGUUACCUGAAUGUGCAGCAAAAAAGUUGACUUGGAAGACGAGCCAAUGGGCAAGGAGGCCGGGCUGGCUGAACAGAGGCCUUUGGCUGGAUCUCAAGAACAAAAGGAAUGUUUAUGGUCUCUGGAAGAGUGGGCAAGCUACUUAUGAGGAUUACAGAAGUAUCGGUAAGCAGUGUGUACCAACACAACAGCUCCAAGAAGAAUGACUUCAUGAAACUUCAUAGUAGAAGAAUAGAGUAAUCAGGAAUUGGAGAAAAAACUUGGGAUUAUUAAUAUAUGAAAAAAAUCAUUAUCCCCUGUGGUGAAGGUUGAGACUCAUGGAAAAAAAUAAAGAAAAACAUGAUUCAGAAUGUAAGCCUUCCCAAAGGCAGAGAAAUCUGAAUGCCAUCACUUUGUUACUGGGAAACUGGUAGCACUGGCAAUGGUGCUAAAUGUAAACAAAAUACAGCCUAUUACUUUUCUAUAUAACUAAAUAUUCUUGAAGCAUAUUGAAUACAACAACAAGAAAAAUUUAGUACUGUCAACUCAAAGAUAAGGCAUAACAAUAAGAGGAAGCAAUACAUACUACAGAGCUGAUAGUAGUUUUCUUUUGUCUACAGUCAUUCUUUUUAAAACUCCUCAGUCAUUGAUCCAAAAUCUAUUCUCAUUUAUACCUUGAUAGUUUCUCACUGCCAUCCAAGUAUAGGACACAGUAACCAUUGGAAAUUUCCUUUAUACUUGGUUUCUAGGCAGUAUAUUUAGGAUAAAUACUCCAGGUAUUCCUUUGCAUCUUUCCUUCACCUUUUCCAAAAUAUUUAUCACAGUAAGCUGAUCUUAUCACAUAUAGUAUAAACAACAAUACUGGACUGCUAGACAGCUAAGCAAAUGUGCACUUCACAAUACUGCAAUAUAUACUUAAAGAUUAUCUUCUGAAAUCAGAGUACAUAGUUACCAACUCUUCUGAGAUCAAAGUUGAUAUUACAGUGCUGAGUCUGUGCAAUAACAAAGAUAAAAAUGAAGAACCAUUCAGGAGCAUGCCUAACAGGCAAGCUUAUAAAGAUAAAAAUGUUUAAAUGGAUUGGAGAAAAAGAAACGUUCUGGCCUAAAAUCUCUGAAACAAAAGGAAUGCGAGUGGAAUUACUUCCUUAUCCUUACAUGUAAUUCUUUGCCACCUCAAUUAUGUCUUCAUUGUAUCUUGAACGUUUGCUGGAAAUAACAUAUAUGCACCUAACUGUGACCCAUGAAAAUACAAGAUAUUAAAAUGUUCACACAACUUCCAGCAUUUCAACACAUCAAAAUAUUAGAAUAGUUCUCAUGUAGAUGCAGAUUCUAUGCUACUGUAAUGCCACUUUAUGGCUAUAUUACGACCAUAUUAUGGCUUUACGAGUUUAUCAUUUUUUGCCUAGCAAAACUUAAGAAAAAUAAUUCACUGACAACACUGAGGAGAAAGAACAGAAAAGUUUCCUAGGUGCAGUGAAAACUGUUUCCCCCUGAAAAACAUUCAUUGUAUUUUCUGACCAUCCCUACCAACGUAACCUCCUGUUAUUUCCUUUUGGUAUUCAGAUUAGAUAUUCAAAAGAGUGUUGUAUUGAUAUUGUCAGAUGCUUAAACAGAAUGAUUUCAGAUCACUUUGGCAACAGUAUUUACUAAAAAUGAAUUGCACCAUUUCAGGGAAUCAAAUAAAACAGAAUUUAGU
Long non-coding RNA from Gallus gallus (chicken), 2075 nucleotides. The record is from Ensembl. NCBI's taxonomy places the organism in Eukaryota, Metazoa, Chordata, Aves, Galliformes, Phasianidae.